RNAcentral lists this ribosomal RNA (301 nucleotides) under Staphylococcus aureus. Its description in RNAcentral is "partial 16S ribosomal RNA". It matches the Rfam family "Bacterial small subunit ribosomal RNA", at positions 1 to 291 of the family's 1533-position model. Lineage: Bacteria; Bacillati; Bacillota; Bacilli; Caryophanales; Staphylococcaceae. The record is from RNAcentral.
UUUAUGGAGAGUUUGAUCCUGGCUCAGGAUGAACGCUGGCGGCGUGCCUAAUACAUGCAAGUCGAGCGAACGGACGAGAAGCUUGCUUCUCUGAUGUUAGCGGCGGACGGGUGAGUAACACGUGGAUAACCUACCUAUAAGACUGGGAUAACUUCGGGAAACCGUAGCUAAUACCGGAUAAUAUUUUGAACCGCAUGGUUCAAAAGUGAAAGACGGUCUUGCUGUCACUUAUAGAUGGAUCCGCGCUGCAUUAGCUAGUUGGUAAGGUAACGGCUUACCAAGGCAACGAUGCAUAGCCGAC